Molecule: small RNA, 1001 nt
Filed under: Pongo abelii (Sumatran orangutan)
Lineage: Eukaryota; Metazoa; Chordata; Mammalia; Primates; Hominidae
Description: retained intron
Source: RNAcentral
GUAACCAUUGUCAUCGUUGGAAUGAAUUAUGCUUUCAUUACCUGGCUGACUUCUGGGCCUCAUCUCCUUAGGGGCUGGAAAGCCUUCAAGAUCAGUGCCAGCAUCCAAGGAAAUGCUCUUCCUCAUGUCAGCUCCCCUCCAGAGCCAAAAGAAGACUACUGUCUCUUCCUAUUUCAAAACGCUUCAUACCCCUAAUGGGCCUCUUAUCCACUUAUAGUACUCUGGAGACUGGACACUCCAUUUUUUAUUCUCCAACCUUCCCCUCUACCCCCAACACAUAUUAUCCUAAUCUUUCUGACCAUGCAGUUCCCUCCACCUGGCAUAUUCACAUUAAAUGCACGUCUUUUCUAUGAAAACUUCUGUGAUGACUCUAGCUCUUGCUCAUCUCCCUUUAAGAGUUUUUACAGCCCGUUGUCUUCACCAUGCAUUUUAACAAUUGGGAUCUCUCUUGUGAUGUUCACUAUUAGCUCAUGUGGGUUGGUUAAAUCUAGACUUAAGAGGCUCUGCUCCUCAGAAGUUGGACUUCUGAAAAAUGCUGAACGAGAACAAGAAUCAGAAGAAGAAAUGUGACUUUGAUGAGCUUCCAAUUUUUCUAGAUAAACCUUUUCUUUUUUACAUUGUCUUUGUUCUUGGUUUUGUUUCUUGAUCUUUUGUUUGGAGAACAGCUGGCUAAGGAUGAUCUAAGUGUACUGUUUGCAUUUCCAAUUUGGUUAAAGUAUUUGAAUUUAAAUAUUUUAUUUUUAGUUUUGAAAAUAUUUUGGGUGAUACUUUCAUUUUGCACAUCAUGCACAUCAUGGUAUUCAGGGGCUAGAAUGAUUUUUUUCCAGAUUAUCUAAAGUUGGAUGCCCACACUAUGAAAAAAAUAUUUGUUUUAUUUGCCUUAUAGAUAUUCUCAAGGUUGCUGGGCUUGCUACUAUUUGUAACUCCUUGACCAUGGAAUUACACUUGUUUAUCUUGUUGCUGCAAUGAGGAAUAAAUGAAUGUAUGUAUUUUGGUGCAGA